AUCCUGGCUCAGAAUCAACGCUGCGGCGUGCCUAACACAUGCAAGUCGAACGCGAAAGCCCCGCAAGGGCAAGUAGAGUGGCAAACGGGUGAGUAACACGUGGGUGACCUGCCUUCGAGCGGGGGAUAACGUCCCGAAAGGGACGCUAAUACCGCAUAACAUCCUGCCUUUGAAGAGGUGGAGAUCAAAGCUGGGGAUCGCAAGACCCGGCACUUGAAGAGGGGCCCGCGUCUGAUUAGCUAGUUGGUGGGGUANCGGCCUACCAAGGCAACGAUCAGUAUCCGGCCUGAGAGGGCGGACGGACACACUGGGACUGAGAC
RNAcentral lists this ribosomal RNA (320 nucleotides) under uncultured Acidobacteriota bacterium. RNAcentral's name for it is "bacterial SSU rRNA". It matches the Rfam family "Bacterial small subunit ribosomal RNA", at positions 16 to 325 of the family's 1533-position model. Lineage: Bacteria; Pseudomonadati; Acidobacteriota. The record is from RNAcentral.